RNAcentral lists this ribosomal RNA (465 nucleotides) under Vreelandella stevensii. RNAcentral's name for it is "partial 16S ribosomal RNA". It matches the Rfam family "Bacterial small subunit ribosomal RNA", at positions 338 to 795 of the family's 1533-position model. Lineage: Bacteria; Pseudomonadati; Pseudomonadota; Gammaproteobacteria; Oceanospirillales; Halomonadaceae. The record is from RNAcentral.
CCUACGGGUGGCUGCAGUGGGGAAUAUUGGACAAUGGGGGGAACCCUGAUCCAGCCAUGCCGCGUGUGUGAAGAAGGCCCUCGGGUUGUAAAGCACUUUCAGUGAGGAAGAACGCCUGGUGGUUAAUACCCAUCAGGAAAGACAUCACUCACAGAAGAAGCACCGGCUAACUCCGUGCCAGCAGCCGCGGUAAUACGGAGGGUGCGAGCGUUAAUCGGAAUUACUGGGCGUAAAGCGCGCGUAGGUGGCUUGAUAAGCCGGUUGUGAAAGCCCCGGGCUCAACCUGGGAACGGCAUCCGGAACUGUCAAGCUAGAGUGCAGGAGAGGAAGGUAGAAUUCCCGGUGUAGCGGUGAAAUGCGUAGAGAUCGGGAGGAAUACCAGUGGCGAAGGCGGCCUUCUGGACUGACACUGACACUGAGGUGCGAAAGCGUGGGUAGCAAACAGGAUUAGAUAUCCCAGUAGUC